AGGCUGGCUGGCCAGGAAGCCACCGCCAGGAGGGAGCUGGGCAGACAGGGCCCAGAAGCAGGGCCGGCCUGGGGGUGGAGCCUGCACACUCUGCAAAGCUCCAGCCUGGCUCCACCCCUUCCCUGCCAGGAGCUGAAAAGGAUGACGUCACCCAGACUGAGGCCCUGGGCCGGGAUGGGCUCAUUAGCCGGGAAGCCGGCACCUGCAGGGCUCGAGGAUUUCCCGUGGUUGCCCCGUGAUGGAUCUUCGCUCGUCUCCUGAGGCCUGGUCAGCUCUAGGGGUCUCUGCUUUGGGGUCUUGGAGAUGGCGCCUGGCUAUUCAGACUUGAAGUCUGGGACACUGGUUCAUCACCAGAGACUAACGCCGCCGUGAGCAUCCUCCCCAAGCACGCAGCCCCUCCCCGUCCUGUGUCCGCGCCACCCCGCCCCCCCUCCGCCCAAUGCUCCUUUUCCGUGCUAGCGCUGGCGGCAGCUCCAUUUUUGUGAGGCUCCAUGGAGAAAGAUUAGAUCCCUAAUCUGACCAGGCAACAGUGAGCCCACAGCAAACCAGUGUCCCCCUUCCCUUGGGUCCAUGGCCCCUCCCCCACCCAAAACCCUGCUGGGUGCUUUGUGUUGCCGGCUUGCAGAGCAUAUGCUUGGCUGCUUGCUUUGUGUCUGCUGUUUAUCCCUCUCUUCCUACUUAACUUCUGUUUCUGCUUGGCCCAUCUGGCUCCUGUGGUACCUGCUUUUCACUCCCGUUGCGCUUCCCCUCCAAUGCGGCCUGCCCCCUAUUUACCACUUCCCUCCCAGGGCUUGGCUCUUGUCCACUCUGGGGCUGCUGGCAGGAGCUCUUGACCUGGAGUGUAGGAGCAGUGAGGGACUCCUCCAGCCUAUGGGACUGCCCAGAGGCACAGCUGGGGACCCUGACCUCGGGGUCACUGCGGUGUUCUGGAGACGCCCUUAGGGUGGGAAGUUGAGGCGGGUGGUGGAGGGCAGGUUGGGAGUGGCCUUUGGACUGGGGAGAGGGCUAGGUUCUGGUAGAAACCCUCCCCCGCCAUCUCCCCAGGUCCUUCUGAGCUUCCUUCCUACCAGAGGUGAUUCUUGGGGUCGGGUGGGGGUCACCCAAAUCAGAGUCUUGUAGAUACUGCUCUCUGUUCACGGCAGUGAUGGGAAAGUGACCUGUGAGUAGCAGCAGGAGAGGAUGAGGCCAGGGAAGGCCUGCAGUUCUGACCCAGAACCCCAGGGCACACAAGCUCCUUCCUGCUGAGAAGGGGCUGUGGCAGUCUGAUGGCUUGGGCAAAAGAGAAAAUGGUGGCAGCCUGAAGCUGCAGGAUGCUCACAGUGGGCUCAGAGGGGAGACAGAAAGGCCCUCUCCUUCACUAGCAGUGCUCUGCUGGGGGUCAGUCUCACCCCACACAUCACACUAGGCUCCACACUGCCUGAGUCAUUGCUCUGCCUCCUCCGCCCCCUCACCAGAUUGCACACUUGUGCAUACUUGCACACCCAGGUCAUGGCUCACACUCACCCCUCCAAUGUAGCCUGCUUCGUUCCUGGUGUGAUGUGGCAGCUCAUGGCUUCCUUGGGACUUGUGAGGGGGUGGUGGAGCCUGGAAGAGAAUGGAGGAGAAGAAAUGGGGCCCGACAGGGGCAGGGCUGUCAUUCAUCUGCCUCUCUGGACCUGGGUUGCUCCUCCAGGCUAAGGCUGGCUGCCGAGGAGGCAGAGCUGGGCCUGGAGUCAACAAGGAUCCACGUGCUUGGGGACCAUCGGCUGCUGCUCCCUGUAAGCAUCUGCUUCCCACGGAAACCUACAGGGCUUGGCUGCCAGGCCUCACUGCGUGCCCACUCCUCUGUGGCUCUGUUCUCUGUCUCGGUUGUUCCAUCUGCCCGCUCCACCAGCUCCUGGCACAGCUCUCUUGGCCUCGUUAUUUCUCUCCCAGAACCUUCUUCCUGCUCCUCAUUUCUUCCUGUCCUUUCUCCCUGUCUUUAUCCAGCCACAUUCAUGCCACUGUCCCUGAGGUCUUCCUCUUUUGUCUUUAUCCAUCAUUUUUCCUCUUGCUUUUCUGCUGUUUUUCUCCAUAUUCAUAUUCUCUGUCUCAUACAUAUUCAGUGGCUCCUUGAAAAUCCACCUAGAUUAUUCAAUGUGCUAGAAGCCUAGAUCUGCUUCAGGAAUAAAACUUCUUAGACUCUAACGCUAGGUCUCUGUCUCAGACACUAGUCUGGACUAAUUGCCUAGAACAUGUUGGUAGACCCACCUACCCUUCCACCCAAGUAUGCUCACUCUUUGCAAUGCCUCCUCUUCUGAUCUGGGACAAGGCAGCUGUGAGGUGUGCAGAAGCCAGACAGAUAAGCCACAGCACCUCGGUCAAGUGACACGGCAGGGGGUGCGGAGAGUCUGGGGCAAGAGUCUCCCUUUAAAGGGAUUUGAGGAGUUCAGUCCUGGAAAGAAACUUAGGACCCAACGUGUCCGAUCCUUGUGCUUGUACAAUCCUUUUACGUCCGCUCUGUUAUCCCCUUAUACCUCUCAUGGGAGGUUCAUAAAUAAGGAAACUACUGUCUUCGGACUAGAAGUUACUCCGCUGGCGCUCCCCAGCACCUGAGGAACAGAGCUGGAGUCAGAUUCUCCGCUUUGGGAUUUGCAGCCCUUGCCUGUGGCAGGUGAAUGAACAGAAGGAACUGGAAAAUGGCAGUUACAGGACAAGGAGAUGCGAGAGCUUCCCGAGGAAGCGGAGAUGAGGGAGCAGCGUUUGGAGAGGGCACAGUCUGCAGCGGGCCAGCUCGAGGACUGAGGCCCUGUCUCUGAGCUUCCCUGAUGACCCCUCCUUUGCACUCAGUCUUGCUUGGCACACCCACCUCUCUUUGCGUUUGAAGCUUCUGAGAACAAAGAAGACCAGGCAAUCUCUUCAAGAUGCCCCCCUGACUGUUUUGGCAGUGGAGUGGCCAGUGAUUCCUGCUGGGGGUCCUCUUCCUAUGGGAGCUUCCUGGGAGUCACCACCGGAAAACUAGAGCCCUGGGUCACAGAUGAGAUCCCUCUGCUUUCACACACAUGUUUUAAAAACAACGAUGCAAAGUGAUCAUCACAAUAGAUCCUGGGGUUCAGAGGAAAUUGAACUGCUGCUCUAAAACCUCGUGCUACAGGAUGCCUGGUGGUGGGGAGCACUUUUGGCCAUAAGAACCCUUAAGCCGAAAGCCCCAGACUGAGGCACGUGUUGUUUUGAGAGGUGAACAGGUCACCCCUGCAUGGUCUUAGGUCCCUCUGCUACCUGCUGGCACAUCAAUCAGAGAUGAGAUUUGCAGGCAGAGAGGUGCAAGUUCAAGUUUCAGCUUCACUACUUGAUUUGGGCAAGUGGUUUGACCUCUCUAAGCCUCAAUUUCCUAAUCUGUAAAAAGAGGACAAUACUUCACUCAGAAGGCUGCUUCAAAGAUUCACUUGAGAUAGGCACACCAUUUAAUCACCACCCAAUAAAUGGUAACAAGGAUGGUGCCUUUAGAUGAUGAUAAUGUUAAAUAGUACCUACAACUACACCAGUGAAUUGGUGGUCUUGACACUGUGGCAAGACUUUAACCAGCUUCAUUAACCUCUGACCUCAUCUGUCCCUUAGCCUCAUUUAAAUUAGACCCAGUGACCAGCAAUUCUCAAUCUCCAUCUCCAUCAGUCUCCAUCAGCCUGAGCUUCCACAGUCACAGCAUCUUCUGAAUGGUUCUACUGGAAGUGACCAGAUCCCACCUGGCUGCUGGCUCAUCUGAAACACAGCCAGUCUGCCUGAUCCUAAAGCUCAUGUUCCACACGGAGGAGGUUUUCAAAGGUGUUUCCCAAUCCCAAUGCUGGGGCUGGAUGUGGUGGAGCAGAAGCAGACGAGCCCUGAACUUGGUGCUGCCCCUCACCGAGUGUGGAGAAAUAAGAAAACCUGACAGGCGGAACCAGGCUUUGAUCAUGCAUUGUUGUCACAACGGAAUGGAUGCGUGACACGAAGAUGCCAAAAAAAUAAAGCAGUGAUUUCCCGACAGUUCCGUGAACUCUGUUAUGGAUCAGGAGACUGAGGCUACAGAGGAGAAGGGAACUGCUCACAGUGACCCCGCUGCUUACAGGAAACCACAAAGACAGGAAGAUGGCUCGAGACAUAUGGUGGAAACCAAUUAAAACCAGUUGAAGGCAACAUGGCAGUCUGAGUUGACCUGACAUAGACCCCGCAGCUCAUUAUACACUCACUGUGAUAUAUUACCAUGCUCCGUAACACACCCACCAAUGCCAUGACAGUUUGUAACCAAAUAAGGAAAGAAAAGAGGUGGCAUCCUUGUUCCCCUGAAAAGCCUGCCCAUUUCCCCAAAUAACUAUGAAUAUUCCUCCUCUUCAUUACCUUGACCCCUGAUAACAACUGCUUAAUGGCCCCAAGAGCUGAGAAGUUGGUUUGUUAACUUAAGUUCCCACUUCUCCAUUCAUGGCCAUUGAAUAAAGCUUGUUCUGUUGAAUGCUCAGCUUUGGUUUCGCUUCAAAUCCACGACACUGAACAGGAAAGACCCUUCUGAGGAAGGGAAGGAUUGUGGGUACAAGGCCCACCCAUGGGCCUCUGCUCAGAGCUCCUCUGAAUGUGGGUUGGAGUCCCACCGGAGUGAGGUGAAAUUGCUAACACUUUCCUCUUGCCAAAGAGAACUCCCUGCAAAGCAAUAAAAUGGCAGUGAGCUUUGAAGAGGGCUUUCUAACCACCAAGAAGCCAGUCCUGGAUUUUGAUGCUGUGUCAUUUAGCACAGUUCCUUUCCCACCAACUGUCUGCUAUGACACCAUGGAGCUAAGUAGCAGAGCUGCUGAAAUAACAGUCACGGGAGAGGGAAAUUAAGACACAUCAGCAAGGGAAAAAGAUUCUUUUAAGCAAGGAGGGGAAUAGGACAGCAACCGAUGAAACAGAAGCAAGAUGUCUGUUCCAGGUGGAGAGAGGCAGAGAAGUCUUUUGUGUGGCAGCUGAGUCAGAGAUGCAACAGAGAGUGCAACAGCCUGCAUUAACGUGGAGCUUAUCAUAAACAUUCACUUAUUGAUCACAUUGCCACCCUAUGCGAAGAGGCUCAUAGGAACCUUUAUUUGACUCUAGGGGGCUAAGCACAUGGCUUACGAGCUUGGAAGUUCUGACUCUUUAAUUUCAACAAGAGAAGGCUGGAGUGGAGGAGAAGAGAAAAGGCCACAGGGAGGGUUAAUUUGCCUGCUUGACGCCUGUCAUUUCACAUGUGAGAAAGAGUGGUGAGUUCUCAUAAGGAAGGGCAGACACGCAUCUAUUACUCCAUUACAAUGCUUUUUGACAAGGCUGUGCAUCUCAAGCCAAUGUAUUUGGUCCAAAGACACAGCAAUGGGUUUUCCAGGUGGAGGAGGGCAAUGUCGAGCAGGUACUUGGCACGAAUGUUUAAGUAGGGAACGGUUGUAAUAAGACCCCGCCGUGCUUUCAGCCCGAGUGACUGCUGCUCUGCAGCAGGAACAUCUAUCACUGGCAGGGAGCAGCGUGUCUACCUCCCUGUCACCUGCCUCAUGUCUAAAAGAGACACUAAAGAUCUGGCCACGGUGGGGUCCAUGUCUCCUGGCUCAUGUUGCGAUUUGUCUAGGAGCAUGAUGAAUAUGCACGUUUCCUCUGACAUAAUCUUUUCUCCUCCUUGGACAGGCAUCUACACAUGUCCCCUUGUCUCUCCCCAAGUCUCCAAAUGGAGGAAUGUUCUCAAAAGAAGGUCUUGAUUCUCGCUGUACUUUCUUCUCUCUGUCCUCCUCCUUUCUUCCCCAACCCUCACCCUUUCCAGUAACCCCCACGGAGUGAAAGUCUCCCUGUCAGUCUGAUAGCCACUGUUAACAAGGGUGUUCUGUGAGCCUGCAUGCUGCCUGGCCAUGAUCUAUUCUUCUUUGUGCAUCAGAGGGGUCCAAGACUCCCCCACAGGUAAUUGAGAAAAUUGACGUGCCCGUUACUAGUGAUGUGAACUUACAAACCCUGGGACUCACUGAUUAGAAUCAAAUUCUUCUCAAGCUGGAUGACCUUCAGAAUUACACAAUGUUAGAGCUUGAAAGGGUCUUAAAGAUUUUCACCUAAACUCCUUCUUUAAUAGAAGAGGAACCUGAAGUGCAGAGACGUGACAGGAAUUGUCACUUAAAGUUACUCCUUCCUCAACGUUCUUCCCACUACUCCAACUCAUCUUUACCUCACUCUACCCUCACUCGUAGGUAGAACUGCUUUUAAGCCAUCUCUCCUCUUUCUAAACCUCUUAUAAGGGAAAGUGGUUUUAAGCUUGGUAUGUAGAAGAUGAUCAAAGCAUCACUUAAUCUCUUAAGACAGGACAUGCUAUCCUAACAUCAGGAAAGUCUUUCCAUCUAACUUUUAUUUGUUUUGCUGCCAUGUUUCCUAAACUUUUUCAGUAAAUAGAGAGGAGAGGAGUCCCACCCUUAUGUAUUUUCCCAUAGGUGUCAAAUAGGCAAAUUUAUCCUCCCUGUGGUCUUGUCUCUUCUCCUCUGGUCUUGCCUUUUCUUGUUGAAGUUAACAAAUCAUAACUUCCACAUGCAUAGGCCGUAUUCUUAGCCUCCUAAAGUCAAAUAAAGGUUAGUCCAUUGGAGAACUGACUCUUUGCCUAAUGACAAAAAAGUAAUAUCGAUAAAAGCUUUCUCUUUUAUUUCAUGCCAAAGUUCAGGUUGAUUUAUAGGCUAGAUCCAGCCUGGCUUCUGGCACUCAAGCAUGUCAGAGAGGAAAACUGGGACAGAGAGCAAAAUAGAGAGCCUCAUAAGUGGGGGCUGUAGAAUAAACAUGUAGUAGGCAAGUUUCGGGAGAGCUCCCCAAUUUUGUACUCUGUAGUUCUUGAUAUGUGCCCAUAAGCAUCUUAAAAAGCAUUUGAGAAACUGCCAAAAAGCCAAGCUAAAAAUACCCUUGGAACAGCGUAAUCAAGAAGAAGUACAGAGAUGGGUGUGAGCUCUCCAUGGAAGGUGUGAGACUCAGAGCAUGGGAGCCAGACUGCAGUGCACAUCUCAGGCUCUUGUCUAGGGGACUGAACCAUGAGGCAGUCUGAUGUGCUUGGGGAGGAAUGGAUGCAUCUGCUUUCAGACUCUGUUUUCUUUUUGAAUCAGUCCAGCCCAAUAGUGUAGCAAGCGUGUCUAAUGAGCACCUAUUAUGUGCCUUAGGAUUAAAAGUGUGAAAACACACCCACUCCUCAGGAGAGUUUGAAACCUUCUGAUGACUCCCCAUUGCCCUUUGUAACACUUAUAAUUUGGCUUGAAUGGCUUCUGGGUUCUCUGUCUAACUCAGUUUCAGGAUCCUACUUCUUCUAACACUUAAUCAUGUGUCUCUGACAAAUAUUUUCUCUAAUCUUCUUUUUCCAGUUAUGAACCUUCUGUUCCCAAUUAUUGGGAACAUUUUACCGUCAGCACAUUCCCUCCCUCUCUCCUGGGGCUUCCACCAGUAGUUUAAAAAUACUCAGACUCUUGCUUUCUGGGAAUAGGAUCCCACUUCUUUAACCUUUCUACCCAAGAUAUUUCCAAACUUCAUAAGCCUUCCCUCAAGCUUCUCUUAACUUGGGGAGCAAAGAAUUGGCCAGAAGAGUGAUGGUGAGUGUGGGACAGUCUUGCUUUCUGAGGGUACACCCAGGACUGUGUUUUCCAUGUUGAUGGAAAACAUGUUGAAUCGUGUACUUGUUCGUAUUUUUAAAUAAAAAUUGUUAUUUGAGACAAAGACUUGUCUUGAGGAAUCUAUAGUCUAAAGACAGACAUCACGACAUGGGCAACCAUCCACAGGACACAAAGAACCAAGUUUUAAAAAGUAACUUGAGGCAUUAAGUGUUUAUAUCAUGCAUAGAUCAAGGCAAAUUCCUGUAAGUACCAGAGUGAUUUGUCCACGAGUUGGAUUGAGAGCAGAGCCCAACAAAAUCCCAGCAUGAAGUCGCUGUGCUAAAGCAGGCAUGGUGAGAAAACACGCUGUUGGAGAAAACAUGGAAGAGUUAGAGAGCUGGAGAGUCACGAGUCUGCUGUGGAGACGGCAGGUUGGGCAGUUGCACCUGCGUAUCUAACUUGUGUGUUUGUCGAGUGGGGCUGGGGAGGUGUGAGUUCCAGGAUCAGGGAAAACAGGGAGCGGCGCAGUGAGGUGCUGAGGGCGGGAAAGAGGCAAGACGGAGUGCAAUGCUUGCGGAUGGAAUCGCCAUAUCAUCCUUGACCCAGAGUUUACGUUGCUUGGCCUCUUCCUGGCUGAAGAGGAUGGUUUAAUUGAGGUGUCUCUUUCAGCCACUGAGAAGGGCUUCUUUGACUACCUUCUCUGAGACUCACAUUCUCUUUCUCCUGAAAACUAAAAAACCCCAAAUACCAAAUACCCGUGCAAUGCUGGACUUUGUGCUCAGUGCUUCCAUAAACACUCUCUCACUGAAUUUUCUCAGUCCUUUCGUCAAGGAUGUCCCAUUUUUCUCUUCUUUACAGAUGAGGAAACUGCAUCGCAGAGAAUAAACAACUUAUCCCACC
Molecule: long non-coding RNA, 8432 nt
Organism: Equus caballus (horse)
Lineage: Eukaryota; Metazoa; Chordata; Mammalia; Perissodactyla; Equidae
Source: Ensembl